GAUGAACGCUGGCGGCGUGCCUAAUACAUGCAAGUCGAGCGAACGGACGAUAAGCUUGCUUCUCUGAUGUUAGCGGCGGACGGGUGAGUAACACGUGGAUCACCUACUUAUAAUACUGGGAUAACUUCGGGAAACCGGAGCUAAUACCGGAUAAUAUUUUGUACCGCAUGGUUCAAAGGUGAAAGACGGUCUUGCUGUCACUUAUAGAUGGAUCCGCGCUGCAUUAGCGAGUUGGUAAGGUAACGGCCUACCAAGGCAACGAUGCAUAGCCGACCUGAGAGGGUGAUCGGCCACACUGGAACUGAGACACGGUCCAGACUCCUACGGGAGGCAGCAGUAGGGAAUAUUCCGCAAUGGGCGAAAGCCUGACGGAGCAACGCCGCGUGAGUGAUGAAGGUCUUCGGAUCGUAAAACUCUGUUAUUAGGGAAGAACAGAUGUGUAAGUAAAUGUGCACAUCUUGACGGUACCUAAUCAAAAAGCAACGGCUAACUACGUG
This 497-nucleotide ribosomal RNA is filed under the name uncultured bacterium. Its description in RNAcentral is "partial 16S ribosomal RNA". It matches the Rfam family "Bacterial small subunit ribosomal RNA", at positions 28 to 507 of the family's 1533-position model. The record is from RNAcentral.